RNAcentral lists this ribosomal RNA (1530 nucleotides) under Escherichia coli. RNAcentral's name for it is "bacterial SSU rRNA". It matches the Rfam family "Bacterial small subunit ribosomal RNA". Lineage: Bacteria; Pseudomonadati; Pseudomonadota; Gammaproteobacteria; Enterobacterales; Enterobacteriaceae. The record is from RNAcentral.
AGAGUUUGAUCAUGGCUCAGAUUGAACGCUGGCGGCAGGCCUAACACAUGCAAGUCGAACGGUAACAGGAAACAGCUUGCUGUUUCGCUGACGAGUGGCGGACGGGUGAGUAAUGUCUGGGAAACUGCCUGAUGGAGGGGGAUAACUACUGGAAACGGUAGCUAAUACCGCAUAACGUCGCAAGACCAAAGAGGGGGACCUUCGGGCCUCUUGCCAUCGGAUGUGCCCAGAUGGGAUUAGCUAGUAGGUGGGGUAACGGCUCACCUAGGCGACGAUCCCUAGCUGGUCUGAGAGGAUGACCAGCCACACUGGAACUGAGACACGGUCCAGACUCCUACGGGAGGCAGCAGUGGGGAAUAUUGCACAAUGGGCGCAAGCCUGAUGCAGCCAUGCCGCGUGUAUGAAGAAGGCCUUCGGGUUGUAAAGUACUUUCAGCGGGGAGGAAGGGAGUAAAGUUAAUACCUUUGCUCAUUGACGUUACCCGCAGAAGAAGCACCGGCUAACUCCGUGCCAGCAGCCGCGGUAAUACGGAGGGUGCAAGCGUUAAUCGGAAUUACUGGGCGUAAAGCGCACGCAGGCGGUUUGUUAAGUCAGAUGUGAAAUCCCCGGGCUCAACCUGGGAACUGCAUCUGAUACUGGCAAGCUUGAGUCUCGUAGAGGGGGGUAGAAUUCCAGGUGUAGCGGUGAAAUGCGUAGAGAUCUGGAGGAAUACCGGUGGCGAAGGCGGCCCCCUGGACGAAGACUGACGCUCAGGUGCGAAAGCGUGGGGAGCAAACAGGAUUAGAUACCCUGGUAGUCCACGCCGUAAACGAUGUCGACUUGGAGGUUGUGCCCUUGAGGCGUGGCUUCCGGAGCUAACGCGUUAAGUCGACCGCCUGGGGAGUACGGCCGCAAGGUUAAAACUCAAAUGAAUUGACGGGGGCCCGCACAAGCGGUGGAGCAUGUGGUUUAAUUCGAUGCAACGCGAAGAACCUUACCUGGUCUUGACAUCUACAGAACUUUCCAGAGAUGGAUUGGUGCCUUCGGGAACUGUGAGACAGGUGCUGCAUGGCUGUCGUCAGCUCGUGUUGUGAAAUGUUGGGUUAAGUCCCGCAACGAGCGCAACCCUUAUCCUUUGUUGCCAGCGGUCCGGCCGGGAACUCAAAGGAGACUGCCAGUGAUAAACUGGAGGAAGGUGGGGAUGACGUCAAGUCAUCAUGGCCCUUACGACCAGGGCUACACACGUGCUACAAUGGCGCAUACAAAGAGAAGCGACCUCGCGAGAGCAAGCGGACCUCAUAAAGUGCGUCGUAGUCCGGAUUGGAGUCUGCAACUCGACUCCAUGAAGUCGGAAUCGCUAGUAAUCGUGGAUCAGAAUGCCACGGUGAAUACGUUCCCGGGCCUUGUACACACCGCCCGUCACACCAUGGGAGUGGGUUGCAAAAGAAGUAGGUAGCUUAACCUUCGGGAGGGCGCUUACCACUUUGUGAUUCAUGACUGGGGUGAAGUCGUAACAAGGUAACCGUAGGGGAACCUGCGGUUGGAUCACCU